RNAcentral lists this long non-coding RNA (1772 nucleotides) under Chrysemys picta bellii (western painted turtle). RNAcentral's name for it is "lncRNA (ENSCPBG00000001230.1)". The record is from RNAcentral. Lineage: Eukaryota; Metazoa; Chordata; Testudines; Emydidae.
UGCCCGCCCUCUCACCGUCCCGCCCCUUCUGUCCCUCGCCGGCCCUGCCGGGGGGCUGCGCCUGCGCGUUCGCUGGAGGGGCUGCUGCUGCUCCGUGCCCGGCGCUCGGACCCGGCUGGCGGGCGGCGGGUGAGGGGCCGGUGGCGGGGCAGAGCGAUGAGCUCCCGGAAAGGUACCAUCCCGGGCGGCUGCGGGAGCCCGGCAGCGGUACCGGCUCCUCCGAGGGGGGCUGAGGAAAGUACCCGCGCGCGCCCACUAACCUGUGCCCGUCUCUCCCCAGUGCUGGCCCUGCAGGCCCGGAGGCGGCGGCCCAAGCAGCCCGCGGCGGCCGGCAGGAGGGACAAGCACAAAAAAAAUCAAGCAGAAGAUUGAGCUGCUGAUGUCAGUUAACUCUGAGAAGUCGUCCUCUUCAGAAAGACACCAGAAACAAGGAGCAGUUGCCCUGGAUGCAGAUUAUCAACCCUAGCCAAGAUUGCUGUAUUCAUUUCUACCAAGAAUGCUCUUUUCUAGGGCUGUUAAAAGCUCAUCAGUCUUAAUGUUGAACUGUUUACAGUCCUUGACCACGGUAUCCAAAAUGGCCUCAUGUCCAGAAGAUGAAGUUUCAAGGCCAGAGCCUCAACAGAAAGCUCCAUCUGCACCACCACCUCCACCUCCGCCCCCACCUCCGCCCCUGCCAGAGCCAGCACCACCAGAACCAGAGGAGGAGAUUCUGGGAUCUGAUGAUGAGGAGCAAGAAGACCCUGCAGAUUAUUGCAAAGGUUUGUGUAAUUAAGCACUAUAUAAAAAGUUGAAUGUUAAAUAGUAAACAUCUAUAUAGCCCUUGACAACUUUGGUCCUCAAGAGCCACUUGAAUGGUCUUCUUUUAGAGUGAAGCUUAUGCUUUUGUGUGGUAGAGACAGAGUUUUCUUAGUGCUGGUCCUAGAUUAUGGAAUUCACUCCUGCAAGAACCAAGGGUAUGUCUACACUAGAGAGACUAUACAGGCAUUGCUAUGUCACCGUAGCUAUGUUGGCAUAACCCUGUAGUAUAGAUGCUGCCUAUAUGUUGGUGUGGGAGCACCACCUCCCUGAUUGAUGGUAGCUCUAAGUCGAUGGAAACAUUCUUCUGUUGACUUAGCUUCAUCUAUACAGGGGAUUAGUUUGGCAUAACUGUGUCGCUCAGGGAGUGCUUUUUUUCCCCACACACCUGAGCAACGUAAUUAUGUUGAUCUAAUUUUUAAGUGUAGACCAAGCCUAAGAAUGGCCACAAAAGUCACCAUUUUCUGUCUAUGCAAUGCUUAUCACUUUUAUUUAUUUUACUUUCCCCUAGGCAAAGGAAUGGAGAGAACAUUUUUGGACCAACAUUAGACACAUUAUUUUUUAACUCUGCGAGGUUUUUAAAUAGUUUGGUAACUGGGAUGAUAUAAUGAUAUAAUAACCUAUACUUAGAAUAGAAUUUAUUUCUCUGAUUCUUCCCUCUAACUUCUCUGCACCAUUGAGACUCACAUUCACUCACUGGAAAUCUUCUGAUCCUGUCCUUGUACAUUAUAUGGAAACUUUAUUCAUACCUUUCUUAUUCUGCUAUUCUGCCUGAUUUACGAUGUGCAUGGGCUAAUUAGAUCAUCAGCUAGUCCAAUUGCCCCAACUUCUGCAGGGAGUCUUGGAACCAUAUCUUGGGGCAUCACUGGGAAUCUGGUAAAGUACGAAACAUUAUUUUAGUGGAGAAUGCAGAUAAACUCAAGACAAGUGAAAGACAAGUAAAUGUUGAGCAAAAAACGUUAAUGUGAACCAGGAGC